Molecule: non-coding RNA, 26 nt
Filed under: synthetic construct
Source: RNAcentral
CGCGGCAUUAAUGCAGCUUUAUUGCC